UCUUUAUUUUUAUUAUUUGCCUUAUUUUUAUUGCUUUCAGUUUUAGAUUAAUUAAAUCAAUCUCAAAACCCCCCAUUUUACUUACAGUUUAGUUGGUUUCAGUUUUAUCUCAUUUUAGUUUAUUUUGCUUUCCGUUUAUUUCUCUUUCAGUUUUAUCUCAUUUCAGUUUUAUCUCAUUUCAGUUUAUCUCGUUUUCAGUUUUAUCUCGUUUCAGUUUUAUCUCGUUUCAGUUUAUCUCGUUUUCAGUUUUCUUCUUUUGCAGUUUAUUUUUAUUUCAGUUUAUUU
Molecule: long non-coding RNA, 285 nt
Filed under: Manihot esculenta (cassava)
Lineage: Eukaryota; Viridiplantae; Streptophyta; Magnoliopsida; Malpighiales; Euphorbiaceae
Description: long non-coding RNA (MESC_LNC010799)
Source: RNAcentral